UGGGGAAUUUUCCGCAAUGGGCGCAAGCCUGACGGAGCAACGCCGCGUGUGGGAAGAAGGCUCUUGGGCUGUCAACCACUUUUCUCAGGGAAGAAGUCCUGACGGUACCUGAGGAAUCAGCCUCGGCUAACUCCGUGCCAGCAGCCGCGGUAAUACGGAGGAGGCAAGCGUUAUCCGGAAUUAUUGGGCGUAAAGCGUCCGCAGGGGGCGCAUCAAGUCUGCUGUCAAAGGUCGGAGCUUAACUCCGGUUCGGCAGUGGAAACUGGUGCG
RNAcentral lists this ribosomal RNA (270 nucleotides) under uncultured Chroococcales cyanobacterium. RNAcentral describes it as "partial 16S ribosomal RNA". It matches the Rfam family "Bacterial small subunit ribosomal RNA", at positions 355 to 640 of the family's 1533-position model. Lineage: Bacteria; Bacillati; Cyanobacteriota; Cyanophyceae; Chroococcales. The record is from RNAcentral.